Molecule: ribosomal RNA, 253 nt
Filed under: uncultured bacterium
Lineage: Bacteria
Also listed under: 1 other name
Description: partial 16S ribosomal RNA
Rfam family: Bacterial small subunit ribosomal RNA
Source: RNAcentral
UACGGAGGGGGCAAGCGUUGUCCGGACUUACUGGGCGUAAAGGGUGCGUAGGCGGCCUGCUGCGUCGGUGCUGAAAGCGCCCGGCUUAACCGGGCGAGGCGUGCCGAUACGAGCGGGCUGGAGCCUUGGCGAGGGUGGCGGAACUCCUGGUGUAGUGGUGAAAUGCGUAGAGAUCAGGAAGAACACCCGUGGCGCAAGCGGCCACCUGGCCAAGAGCUGACGCUGAGGCACGAGAGCGUGGGGAGCGAACCGG